GCUGGAUAGCUCAGGUGGUUAGAGCAUGGUGCUGAUGAUGCCCAGGUUGCAGGUUCGAUCCCCGCAUGGGACAGCUGCA
This is a non-coding RNA of Podarcis lilfordi (Lilford's wall lizard), 79 nucleotides long. NCBI's taxonomy places the organism in Eukaryota, Metazoa, Chordata, Lepidosauria, Squamata, Lacertidae. The record is from the annotation of a GenBank genome assembly.